GAUUCCGCAAUUUCUGUACU
This 20-nucleotide unclassified non-coding RNA is filed under the name Dictyostelium discoideum. The record is from RNAcentral. Lineage: Eukaryota; Evosea; Eumycetozoa; Dictyosteliales; Dictyosteliaceae.